UAGAAAUACAUGAUUUCUACAACCGGUUUCGCUAGGAGAACCGCCAGUGAAAAUGGAUUCUGGCGAUUCUUGAGUCGGGCCGCCGAUUUAUUUUCAUAGGCAUUUUUUAAUUAAAACCGCCCCUAAAAAAAUCCACCGCCAACUUAGAGCUUUUGUUUACUAAUGUAAUGGAUAUAAAUUGGGCCUCACUUUAAGACAAAAUGUCUUUUUUUAAAAGAUCAAGACAGAAGACAAAGUUUCUUACUGUUUAUAUUCCACUUGAUUCAUCAUCUUAUUUUCCUCCACCUUGUUGCGAUCGAUGCAACUUGUAGCCCAUUUGAAAUGCGGAUUUUUUUCCAAAAAAAACACACAUAUCGAUAGCAAUAAAUUUAAUAUAAAAAAGCAUAGGAAUUAAAAAAAACGUAUUCCAAACUUAGCAUCUCGCCACUAGCCAGCUUUCCAUGCCUCCCUUAGCUUGAGCCGUCACCGCUCAGCGCUCACUGAAAUAUUUACUAGAUGGUGUCAAAUAUUUAGCUGCUAAUAAUUACUUUUUCUAUCUAAUAAACGGGACAACUAAUAGUCUAGCUAAUGGCAGCUAAUAUUAUUAGCUAUGAGCUAUUAUUUAGUUUUUUUACAUGAUAGUAUUCGGCUGAUGAAGCUUAGAUCCUAUUUUGAUUCAUAAAGCUAAUAGUUAGCUACUAAUAACUAUUUUUUUAUGUAAACGGAUCCAACUAACAAUAUUUUAGCUAAUUAAUAGCUAGACAUUUAACUAGUCAUCUCACUUGUUAGACCAAACCUGCUAAUAUUAUCUAUGAGCUGUUGACUAGCUAACUAAUAGCUAAUGGAUAUAAAUAGAACGUUACUUUAAGACAAAAUGUCUUUUUUUUAAGAUCAAGACAAAACACAAAAUCUCUUGCUGUUUACAUUCCACCUAAUUCGCCUUCGUAUUUCUUCUACCUUGUUACAAUAGAUGCAACUUGUAGAGCCCAUUUGAAAUACGGAAAUUUUACAAAAAAAAAAAAACCACAUGUAGAUAGCAAUCAAUGAGGACUCCUUUAGAACACAGGAAUUUUAUAUGAUUUGUACAGGAUUUUCACAGAAAAACAUAGAAAACAAAAAAAAUCCUAUGUUCCAAAGGGGAUCUUAAAUAUAGAAAAACAUAGAAAUAAAAAAAAUCCCAUAUUCCAAACUUAGUCAUAUGAUUUCACCACUACCUAGCUUUCCAUGCCUCCCUUGAGCCGCCAACCCUCAAUGAAAUAUUAACUAGAUGGUGUCAAAUAAAAGGCGAUAUACAUGAUGCAUGCAUUGUUAACUUGAUUAGUCUACACGAUAUAUAAUUAAACUUUACUCGUAAUACGAUAAAAAUCGCACGUUGCCGUUCCACGAGAUCGAUCGGUCAAACAACAAACCUAAACCUUUUAGCCCACCUUUGGGUCUCUUACAAGCAAGCAAGCAAUAUUGUAGGGAAAAAAUAGAAUGCUGGAUCUAUAUAUACAUACACCUACAACUGCUUUAAUUAGGCCUUGUUUAGGCUUCAAAAUUUCAAAAGUUUACGAGAAUCCCCAUCACAUCGAAUCUUUAGAGACAUAUAUGAAACAUUAAAUAUAGAUAAAAAAUAACUAAUUACAUAAUUUGUCUGUAAAUCGAGAAAAAUCUUUUGAGCCUAGUUAGUCCACGAUUGGAUACUAAUUACCAAAUACAAACGAAAUGCUACAGUAGUCAAAUUCCAAAAGUUUUUUUUAAUCUAAACAAGGCCUUAGUGACAUCAAGAAGAGGAUCAAGCUCUCACAUUUUCCUUAAUUAACUAUUUUAAUUUAAUUCUCAUCUCGAUCUGGAAGCGCCUCUCAACGCCUGGAUAUAUAGUGGUAGGGCUUAAAAUGCACUAAUGGUUCCUCUCUUUUAAUAUGCCGUUUUCUCCUUUAAUUUGCUUUCAAGUCUACAUCAUCUUUAAUUUCUUCUUGUCAUGCAGGUUAACACAGACUAAAAAAAGAGGGGCGUAUAUUAAGGGAAAACUAAAUUAAGGAGGAUUUGCAAGCUCCAAGCAGGAAGCAAGUGUAUGGUCAGAUAUAUAUGAAGUAUACCUGGGACUGUUUGGCAAAGCUGCCAGAGUUGAUUCUUGGCUAAAUCUAAGAGGAGAUCUACCAAACGUUUUUUUCCUGAGUGAAGUGAUUCAGUGCUGAUUCCAUGGAGUGAUUCUUUAAAAUGAACUAAGGGGCUAGGAGCUGAAAAAGUAGUUUCUCCUAAUUCUAUGAAGUAAUUGUUUAUCAUAAUUUAGAGAGUUUAUCCUAGAGAGAAUUAUACAGAAUCAUUCCAGCUACAUAAUCACUUCUCUCGGAAAAUCAGCUCCUAUAGAACCAGAAUCAAGUGGAUACCAAACAAACCCAUGUACACAUAUGCAUUAUAUGAUAACUCACAUGAUUGAUCAUAUAUAUACCGUGACACGGUGCAUAUAUAUCUUGCAAAGAAGAUACAAACAACAGUAUAUCCAGAGGCUACAUACAUAUAUGCCACACCAGGGCUGCACUGCAUCUGCAUCUAUCUGCAUGCAUCUGCAUACCAGGUAGAUAGUGUGCUAUCUGCUAUCUGUAUCUAUCUCCUUUCUUGGCUGCAUGAUGCACGCACAGACAGCUGGUUGGGGAUAUGUGUGUUGAGUCAUGCAUAGCCUGGCGGAGCACUAGUAGAACAAAAAAAGACAGAAACUGAAGCUUUAAUAGUGCCAGUAAGUAUAGUACUUAUGAGGCAAGAAAACUUCAUGCGUCAACAAUAGCCUCUAAGAGAAAAGGAAACACACAGAAAGGCACUUUUUUCUUUGAGAAAUACAGAUACUACGUACGUACGUGGCAUGCAUGAAACCUUGGUGCGUCAGCAAAGCUUGUGAGGGAAAAAGGAGGAAGAGAUACGUACUCCAAUGCAAAGGCACUUUGAGAAAAAGUACUACAAAAAAAUUAAUUACGUGGCAAAAAAACCUCCAUGCAUGCAUCAAGCCUCUCAGGGAAAAAGGAGCAAGAGAUAUAUACAAAUAAAUAAAGUCAUCAGUUUUAGAAGAUGAGAUGAUGGCCGGACACAGGAUGGAGCACGGCACGGCACGGCAUUGCAAACUAACUGCAAAGCAUCUUGAAGAUGAAGCCCCUCGAUCGAGAAAACCUUUUUUAUAUUAUUCAUUUGUAGUUUUGUGUCGCCCAACGGAUGCACGCACGCAUAUGCACCCCCCUCCGGGCUGCAUGCCCAUAUGGUAGUGUGCAAAUUGAUGAAUGAAGGUAAAAAGAAUUGUCACCAC
Molecule: long non-coding RNA, 3256 nt
Filed under: Sorghum bicolor (sorghum)
Lineage: Eukaryota; Viridiplantae; Streptophyta; Magnoliopsida; Poales; Poaceae
Description: long non-coding RNA (SBIC_LNC011004)
Source: RNAcentral